UGCUAAGCCUGGCCUCCUCCCUCUGC
Molecule: non-coding RNA, 26 nt
Filed under: Mus musculus (house mouse)
Lineage: Eukaryota; Metazoa; Chordata; Mammalia; Rodentia; Muridae
Source: RNAcentral